UCAUAUUGAAAGAGCUUUUGGUGUGCUGAAGAAACGGUUUCAAAUUCUCAAAGUGGGGACCUUCCAUCCAAUUGAUAAUCAAAUUAAAAUUCCUGCAAUAGCGGCUGUCUUUCACAAUAUCAUUAGAGGAUAUAAUGGGGAUGAAGGGUGGUUGGAUCACCAACCAAAUAAUAUCAACCCAGAGGACUAUGUUGACCUGCCAGAUGGGGAUGAAGACUACCCAAAUGAACCAGAAUCGAAUGAUGGAAACACCUUAAGAGACCAAAUUGCUCUUCAGAUGUGGGCUCAGUACAAUAAUUAGUUGAUGCUCAGGGUAGCAGAUCUAGCUUUGGCCAUGGUGGCAGCAUUGCUCCAAGCCAUACCUAGAGGUGGGUGGUUCUCUGUCGGGGUGAAUAACGAUCCGGGGUGAAUAAUGAUCCAGGGUGAAUGAAGCGAUCUGAAGGCUGAAGUGCCAGCAAUCUCUGCAGUCUGAUGCUGCAAUCUAAGAUGGAGAGCAAGACUGGCGAUCCAGGGCGCUUCCGUGUUUAGUUGUUCUGUUCUUCUUUUUUAUGUUCUGUCAGCUUUUGUUUCUUUUGCUGUGAGCCUGUUUUCGAGGGAGUUGUUUACAGGAUGUGCUGCUUCUUAGUUCUGGUGGUUGCGGCCAAGUCUUGCUUGGCUUUCUUGUUUUGAACCUGCAUCCGAAAUAGCAGGUUUUCCUGUGCAUGGUAAUAA
This is a long non-coding RNA of Panicum virgatum (switchgrass), 711 nucleotides long. RefSeq lists it as uncharacterized. The transcript has 3 exons. The record is from RefSeq and is a predicted model, not a curated record. Lineage: Eukaryota; Viridiplantae; Streptophyta; Magnoliopsida; Poales; Poaceae.